RNAcentral lists this ribosomal RNA (481 nucleotides) under uncultured Acidovorax sp. RNAcentral describes it as "bacterial SSU rRNA". It matches the Rfam family "Bacterial small subunit ribosomal RNA", at positions 903 to 1382 of the family's 1533-position model. Lineage: Bacteria; Pseudomonadati; Pseudomonadota; Betaproteobacteria; Burkholderiales; Comamonadaceae. The record is from RNAcentral.
CUACAAAGGAAUUGACGGGACCCGCACAAGCGGUGGAUGAUGUGGUUAAUUCGAUGCAACGCGAAAAACCUUACCCACCUUUGACAUGUACGGAAUCCUUUAGAGAUAGAGGAGUGCUCGAAAGAGAACCGUAACACAGGUGCUGCAUGGCUGUCGUCAGCUCGUGUCGUGAGAUGUUGGGUUAAGUCCCGCAACGAGCGCAACCCUUGUCAUUAGUUGCUACAUUCAGUUGGGCACUCUAAUGAGACUGCCGGUGACAAACCGGAGGAAGGUGGGGAUGACGUCAAGUCCUCAUGGCCCUUAUAGGUGGGGCUACACACGUCAUACAAUGGCCGGUACAGAGGGUAGCCAACCCGCGAGGGGGAGCCAAUCCCACAAAGCCGGUCGUAGUCCGGAUCGCAGUCUGCAACUCGACUGCGUGAAGUCGGAAUCGCUAGUAAUCGCGGAUCAGCAUGUCGCGGUGAAUACGUUCCCGGGUCUU